AUGGAUGGAAGAACGGCGUUGGGCGGUCGCAUUUUCGUUUUCCAGCAAGCAAAGCGCAAGCAUGGGCAGAAAGAAGCGUUUUCGCUGUUCGUUUGGCACAUUUGCACAAUCAAACGGCUCAAAUGUCCACUGAAACUGAAACUAUGAGAUAAUCUGAAAGGGUUAUUAUUUGGAAAUGUAGAGACGACCUGCGGUACGCAAACGACCAUGCUGAAGUCAAUUGAUUUUGGAGCCCAUGCAGCAUUUUUUAAGUUGGAUAUUAUGAGGCUGGAAACUUGAAAACAGAAUGACUCGGAGGCCGUCCAACGAACGAAAAGUUUUUGAGAAGCGUUAGAAAGAGCGCAAUAUUGGUCUAUCACUACAGCAAUGUCAGCAAUACAUCCUAAUUUUGAGCUUCAAGGCCUUAUAUGUUCCAGUGUUAUGCCUUUGGACUGAGAACAAAAUCCGAUUGGAGAAAAUUGAUUGAAGUGAGUAAUGGCAUUUGAUUUUUAAAUUCUUAUGCUAUAAUAUAUGAUGAUUUUUCACUAGAUAGGGA
This is a long non-coding RNA of Neocloeon triangulifer, 535 nucleotides long. RefSeq lists it as uncharacterized. The transcript is spliced from 5 exons. Lineage: Eukaryota; Metazoa; Arthropoda; Insecta; Ephemeroptera; Baetidae. The record is from RefSeq and is a predicted model, not a curated record.